UACGUAGGGUGCGAGCGUUAUCCGGAAUUAUUGGGCGUAAAGGGCUCGUAGGCGGUUUGUCGCGUCGGGAGUGAAAUCACUGGGCUUAACCGAGUGCUUGCUUUCGAUACGGGCAGACUUGAGGCAUUGAGGGGAGAACGGAAUUCCUGGUGUAGCGGUGAAAUGCGCAGAUAUCAGGAGGAACACCGGUGGCGAAGGCGGUUCUCUGGCAAUGUUCUGACGCUGAGGAGCGAAAGUGUGGGGAGCGAACAGG
This 253-nucleotide ribosomal RNA is filed under the name uncultured bacterium. Its description in RNAcentral is "partial 16S ribosomal RNA". It matches the Rfam family "Bacterial small subunit ribosomal RNA", at positions 524 to 776 of the family's 1533-position model. The record is from RNAcentral.